GCGGGUAUGAGGGGGUCCGGGAGAUUGAGAAGCGGUUGACGAACACUGUGGGAUGGAGUGCAACGUCGGGGCAGGUGGACAAUUGGGUGUACGAGGAGGCGAAUGCCACGUUCAUUGAGGAUGAAGAGAUGAGAAAGCGGCUGAUGGAUACCAACCCCAACUCGUUCAGGAAGCUGCUGCAGACUUUCCUCGAGGCCAGCGGACGGGGGUACUGGGAGACAUCUGAGGAAAACCUUGAGAUGCUGCGCCAGUUGUACUCGGAGGCCGAGGACAAGAUUGAAGGGAUCGAUCGGUGAUUUUCUGGUCCAAUA
RNAcentral lists this unclassified non-coding RNA (311 nucleotides) under Hevea brasiliensis (rubber tree). Lineage: Eukaryota; Viridiplantae; Streptophyta; Magnoliopsida; Malpighiales; Euphorbiaceae. The record is from RNAcentral.